ACCGUAGCUGCAAAUCUUGACCCAAUUUACACGACGGAAACAGGUACAUGAUUGAUUGAAGAUGUAUUUGUUGGUUGCCUGCCUACCAGGCAAACAUUGGUAUUCAUGCUGACUAGAACCCUACAGAUGGAUCAGAAUGGGUAAGGCCUGGAUACCAUGCUGAUGGUCAAACAUUUGCGGCUACGGCUAAUCUAACACUAGAUCAUGCUAUUAAUAAGAUGCAGCUGCGAGAUGAUACUGAAGGUAUCCAUAGGCAUGAUAUCCACCUUCCCAACCGGCGUAUUCGGCAGUGGUUCAGUGUGUUUUAUUUGUUUUUUGAUUUGUACUUAUAACAUGAUGCAGACGACACAGCUUCCGAACUGCUUGAAACUGUUUCUCUAAAUAAUGAAUGCAAAAAAUACGCUGAGGAAGCAAGGGAGCAGUACAAUGCAAGGAGGCGUGCAGCUUAUCGGAAGAAAAAUAAUGAGGAUAUUGU
RNAcentral lists this long non-coding RNA (475 nucleotides) under Triticum aestivum (bread wheat). RNAcentral describes it as "long non-coding RNA (TAES_LNC008888)". The record is from RNAcentral. Lineage: Eukaryota; Viridiplantae; Streptophyta; Magnoliopsida; Poales; Poaceae.